GACGAACGCUGGCGGCGGGCUUAACACAUGCAAGUCGAACGGAAAGGCCCUGCUUUUGUGGGGUGCUCGAGGGGCGAACGGGUGAGUAACACGUGAGUAACCUGCCCUGGACUUUGGGAUAACUUCAGGAAACUGGGGCUAAUACCGGAUAGGAGCUCCUGCUGCAGGGUGGGGGUUGGAAAGUUUCGGCGGUUGGGGAUGGACGCGCGGUUUAUCAGCUUGUUGGUGGGGGAGUGGCUUACCAAGGCUUUGACGGGUGGCCGGCCUGAGAGGUUGACCGGCCACAUUGGGACUGAGAUACGGACCAGACGCCUACGGGAGGCAGCAGUGGGGAAUAUUGCACAAUGGGCGGAAGCCUGAUGCAGCAACGCCGCGUGCGGGAUGACGGCCUUCGGGUUGUAAACCGCUUUCGCCUGUGACGAAGCGUGAGUGACGGUAAUGGGUAAAGAAGCACCGGCUAACUACGUG
RNAcentral lists this ribosomal RNA (468 nucleotides) under uncultured bacterium. RNAcentral's name for it is "partial 16S ribosomal RNA". It matches the Rfam family "Bacterial small subunit ribosomal RNA", at positions 28 to 507 of the family's 1533-position model. The record is from RNAcentral.